CAAUAGCGUAUAUUAAAGUUGUUGCGGUUAAAAGCUCGUAGUUGGAUUUCUGUUGAGAACAGGCGGUCCACCUUUUGGGUGAGUAUCUGCAUUGGUCUCGGCAUCUUCUCGGAAAACGUCACCGCGCUUGAUUGCGUGGUACGGUGUUCGGGACUUUUACUUUGAGGAAAUCGGAGUGUUCACGGCAGGCAAUUGCUUUGAACGUAUUAGCAUGGAAUAAUAAUCUAGGUUCUUCCGCCUAUUUUGUUGGUUUCUAGGCGAUAGAAAAUGGUUAAGAGGGACAGUUGGGGGCGAUUCGUAUUAACGCGUCAGAGGUGAAAUUCUUGGAUUGCGUUACGACGAACUACUGCGAAAGCAUUUGCCAAGGAUGUUUUCAUUGAUCAAGAACGAAAGUAAGGGGAUCGAAGACGAUCAGAU
Molecule: ribosomal RNA, 417 nt
Filed under: uncultured eukaryote
Lineage: Eukaryota
Description: bacterial SSU rRNA
Rfam family: Eukaryotic small subunit ribosomal RNA
Source: RNAcentral